AGCCCCGUAGUUCAGCGGAAUGAACGCCGCGCUACGAACGCGGAGCACGCAGGUUCGAAUCCUGCCGGGGCUGC
This 74-nucleotide transfer RNA is filed under the name Phycisphaerales bacterium. RNAcentral's name for it is "tRNA-Arg". It matches the Rfam family "tRNA". From Rfam's summary of the family: Transfer RNA (tRNA) molecules are approximately 80 nucleotides in length. Their secondary structure includes four short double-helical elements and three loops (D, anti-codon, and T loops). Lineage: Bacteria; Pseudomonadati; Planctomycetota; Phycisphaerae; Phycisphaerales. The record is from RNAcentral.